RNAcentral lists this unclassified non-coding RNA (185 nucleotides) under uncultured Aspergillus. RNAcentral describes it as "sequence contains ITS1". Lineage: Eukaryota; Fungi; Ascomycota; Eurotiomycetes; Eurotiales; Aspergillaceae. The record is from RNAcentral.
CCGAGUGCGGGUCCUUUGGGCCCAACCUCCCAUCCGUGUCUAUUAUACCCUGUUGCUUCGGCGGGCCCGCCGCUUGUCGGCCGCCGGGGGGGCGCCUUUGCCCCCCGGGCCCGUGCCCGCCGGAGACCCCAACACGAACACUGUCUGAAAGCGUGCAGUCUGAGUUGAUUGAAUGCAAUCAGUUA